Molecule: ribosomal RNA, 459 nt
Filed under: uncultured bacterium
Lineage: Bacteria
Description: partial 16S ribosomal RNA
Rfam family: Bacterial small subunit ribosomal RNA
Source: RNAcentral
CCUACGGGUGGCAGCAGUGAGGAAUAUUGGUCAAUGGGCGCGAGCCUGAACCAGCCAAGUCGCGUGAAGGAAGACGGUCCCAUGGAUUGUAAACCUCUUUUGUCAGGGAACAAAAUACGCCACGCGUGGCGGUCCGAGAGUACCCGAAGAAAAAGCAUCGGCUAACUCCGUGCCAGCAGCCGCGGUAAUACGGAGGAUGCGAGCGUUAUCCGGAUUUAUUGGGUUUAAAGGGUGCGUAGGCGGACUGUUAAGUCAGCGGUAAAAGCCCGGGGCUCAACCCCGGUCCGCCGUUGAAACUGGCAGUCUUGAGUUGGCGAGAGGUAUGCGGAAUGCGCAGUGUAGCGGUGAAAUGCAUAGAUAUCGCGCAGAACUCCGAUUGCGAAGGCAGCAUGCCGGCUCCACUCUGACGCUGAGGCACGAAAGCGUGGGUAUCGAACAGGAUUAGAUACCCCAGUAGUC